GACAUCUUCAAGGGUGAGCAGUGGAUCCUUGUGCACUGGGAGUAAUAAAACCUCACCACAAGGAAGACUGAUGAAGGAUUAUGAGGUCAAGGGGAAACAUCUCCACCUGGUUCCCCAGUCCCAACCCUUACACUGAUAAAGCUUCUCUCUGAUUAAUCAUCUGUGCUGGCAACCCGAGGAGACAGAGGCCAACAAACCCGAAAUGAACUAUUAUCCCGGUGAGGUGGCAGGCAACUGAUUAACUGAAGCAAGCCCGGGUGGCUGCCUGUCCGGUCCGGAGAAAAUGCAAAUCUUUUCUCCACCAGAGGGCCUGAGCCUGUAGUCCCGUCCUGGUCCUGGAGAUGGGCAGCUCUUCGCGGACAAAUCCGGUGGAGUGCGGCGGUGCGGCCGGGGCGGGGCAGGGGGAGGGGAGGGAUGUCAAGGGCUUGGAUGAGUUAUGUAACCAGGACCCAUACUGGCCCUUUCUCAAAUAUCAGGCCACAGAUUUAUUUCGAGGACUUUGGCGAAAAGAGCUCCUGGAAGCGCAUAUGCAGAGAUUAAUGGAGCACCGCACAGUUGGACAGGAACUGGGAAGUGCCGCUCAGCUUGGUGGCGUCGCUGGAUCAUUCGCAAGUAUUUGCAGGUGGCCCCAGCCUCAUCCUCAUCUGCCCAGUCCUUCUCGCUGCCACAGACAUCAGUGGCCUCAGACCUGCCCAGGAAACCACCUCUGGCACUACUUCAAGGGAAGACAAGGCAGGGUUUGAAGUCACGCCACCACUUCAAGCUCCACAUGAUAGUUAUGGACUAAAAAGGGAUGAGGCUGAGUAAAAAUAAGUCAUAAUUCUGUGCCCUAGCUUGGAGGGAGUGGGUGGUUGCUAAAGGAUUUUCUACACCUUUCCUUUUGUAGUUCAAAGAAUUGGUUAGGAUAAGAUAUUGACCUCGUCGUAUAACUGAAUAACUGCAGGCCAGAGUCUAGCCAAACCCCUUACAAACUGUGUGACCGUGGGCAGGUUACUUAACCUUGUCACAUCUCAGGUUUCUCAAAGUGGAGAUAAUAGUGGUAUUUAUCACAGAGGGUUAUUUAGAGGAAAAAUUGAGAUAAUGCAUUAAAAGUCCUUGGCACAGUUCUCCAAGCUUCGAGCACAGGUUGGCAGAACCAGCUGCGUGGCUGCGUGCAGCUCAGCCUAUGGGGCCAGAUGGUGGCAGCAGCCUAUGGGAGACCCAGCAGCUGGUGGGCAGGUGCACUGAUGCUGAAGUACUAUGAGCUUUCAGAACUUCUGGAGAAACUACAAAGUUCUGAUUGUUAUGGUACCUUUAGCUGGGUUCAUACAUUCGGGAUGGCACAGAAUCAAAAGCAGCCCUGUUUUCCAAAUGCUUAAUAAGGACAAUGUUUCCGCACCAGAUAGUCCAACACUUGAAUGUCCUGAGAAGAAUCACAUCGAAGGGAAAUAGCAGGCUUGGAAUCUUCAGAAAGAAGGAAUUGAGCUUGAUAUUGAAAGAAGAGAUGAAAAACACCAGCUGGAUGAGAAAGAACUAGCUUCUUGUAGCUGGGGUGUCUUUCAUAGGUGUCCAUCUUGGAACAUACUUUGUUAUACAGAGGGCUGCAAAACAAUCUGUAAAAUCUCAACCUAGAGGCAAAUGACAAAGUACUGAAGAACGAAAUAAAAAUAAAUAUUUGGAAUUACUAAUAAAAAAAAAGUCCUUGGCACGGUCUAGCACAGUGUUUCUCAAACUUUAGCACACAUCAGAUUCAUCAGUAGGGUUGUUAAAACACAGAUUCCUGGGUCUGACUCUCAGAGUUUCUGACUUAUUAGGUUUAAGAUGGGCUCUGAGGUUUUGCAUGUCUGACAGGUUCCC
Zalophus californianus (California sea lion) is the source of this 1836-nucleotide long non-coding RNA. Lineage: Eukaryota; Metazoa; Chordata; Mammalia; Carnivora; Otariidae. The record is from Ensembl.